UUUUUUUCUCCAGCUCCUUUAGGUGCAAGGUUAGCUUUUGUAUUUGAGUUCUUUCCAGUUUUUGGAUGGAUGCUUGUAUUGCGAUGUAUUUCCCCCUCAGGACUGCUUUUGCUGUAUCCCAAAGAUUUUGAACAGUUGUACCUUCAUUCUUAUUAGUUUCCAUGAAUCUUUUUAAUUCUUCCCUAAUUUCCUGGUUGACCCUUUCAUCUUUUAGCAGGAUGGUCCUUAACCUCCACGUGUUUGAAAUCUUUCCAAAUUUCUUCUUGUGAUUUAGUUCUAAUUUCAAAGCAUUGUGGUCUGAAAAUAUGCAGGGGACGAUCCCAAUCUUUUGGUAUCGGUUCAGACCUGAUUUUGUGACCCAGUAUGUGGUCUAUUCUGCAGAAGGUUCCAUGUGCACUUGAGAAGAAUGUGUAUUCAGUUGUGUUUAGAUCUAAAGUUCUGUAAAUAUCUUGAAAUCCAUCUGAUCCAGUGUAUCAUUUAAAGCUCUUGUUUCUUUGGAGAUGUUGUGCUUAGGUCUGUCUAUUGUAGGAAGUGCUACAUUGAAGUCACCAAGCAUAAGUGUAUUAUUAUCUAAGUAUGUCUUAACUUUGGUUAUUAAUUGAUUGGUAUACUUGGCAGCUCCCAAAUUUGGGCAUAAAUAUGCAUGAUUGUUAGGUCUUCUUGUCGGAUAGACCCUUUAAGUAUGAUAUAGUAUUCCUCUUCAUCUCUUAUUACACUCUUUGGGAUAAACUUUAAUUUAUCUGAUAUAAGGAUAGCUACCCCUGCUUUCUUUGAGGACCAUUUGAAUGGUAAAUGGUUCUCCAACCUUUUAUUUUCAGGCUAUUGGUGUCCUUAGGUCUAAAAUGAGUCUCUUGUAGACAGCAAAUAGGUGGGUCUUGCUUCUGUAUCCAGUCGGAAACCCUGCCUGCGCCUUUUGAUGGGGUCAUUAAGCCCAUUCACGUUCAGAGUUACUAUUGAAAGAUAUGAAUUUAGUGUCAUCAUGAUACCUAUUCAGUCCCUGUUUUUGUGGAUUGUUUCCUUGGACUUCCUCUUUCUUUUACGGAGUCUCCCUUGAUAUUUCUUGCAGAGCUGGUUUGGUGGUUACAUAUUCUCUGUUUCUGCCUAUCUUGGAAGCUCUUUAUCUCUCCUUCUAUUCUGAAUGAGAGCCUUGCUGGAUAAAGUAUUCUUGGCUGCAGGUUCUUCUCAUUUAGGACCCUGAAUAUAUCCUGCCAGCCCUUUCUGGCCUGCCAAGUCUCUGUGGACAGGUCUGCUGUUAUCCUAAUGCUUCUCCCCAUAAAAGUUAGGGAUUUCUUGUCUCUUGCUGCUUUAAGGAUCUUCUCUUUAUCUUUGGAAUUUGCAAGUUUCACUAUUAAAUGUUGAGGUAUUCAGCGGUUUUUAUUGAUUUUAGGGGCGGAAAUCUCUCUAUCUCUUGGAUCUGAAUGCCUGUUUCCCUUCCCAAGUUAGGGAAGGUCUCAGCUAUGAUUUGUUCAAAUAUACGUUCUGUACCUCUGUCCCUUUCGGCGCCCUCGGGAACCCCAAUUAAACGUAGAUUUUUCCUUCUGAGGUUGUCAUUUAUUUCCCUUAACCUAUCCUCAUGAUCUUUAAAUUGUUUUUCUCUUUUUUCCUCAGUUUCCCUCCUUGACAUCAACUUGUGUUCUAUGUCACUCACUCGUUCUUCUACCUUGUUAACCCUCAUCAUUAGGACCUGCAGUUUGGAUUGCAUCUCAUUUAAUUGAUUUUUAAUUUCAGUCUGAUUAGAUCUGAAUUCUGCAGUCAUGAAGUCUCUUGAAUCCUUUCUACUUUUUUCUAGAGCCACCAGUAGCUUUAUAAUUGUGCUUCUGAAUUGGCCUUCUGACACUAAAUUGUAAUCCAAAUUUUGUAACUCUGUGGGAGAGAGGACUGAUUCUUUGAGGUGAGUUUUUCCUUGUAGUCAUUUUGCUCAGUGCAGAGUGGUCAAAAACAAGUUGUACUGGAAAAAGGAGAAAAAGAGAGAAGAGAAAAAAGGAAAAAAAAAGAAGAAGAAGAAGAAAAGAAAUAAAUGGGGCCGUUAAGCAAACAGAAAACAAAAAAUAAGGGAGAGUAGCCUCUGUUUCUAUAUACUGUAAAUUCCUCAACUUCCCCUGGAACUUUCCAGUGCCUCUUGGCAAUAACUUGCUUUUCCCCUGUCCUUCUAGCUGGUCUUCUGGGUGAGGUGCCUGCUGUGCUGAUUCUCAGGUGUGUGCACCUGGGGGAGCUGCUCAGCCCCCUUCCUGGUGCACAGCUCAAUAGAAGUUGUUUAUCCUGUGAGGCCACUUUGAGGCUCAGUGGGAGUUUACCUUGUGAGACCCCAGGAGGAGCAACAACAGUGGCGGCGCCCAGCUCUCCAGCCCUGGAGUCAGCUCCCGCAGUAACUACCGCAGUCUCCCAGUCCACAGGGGCCUGGAUGCUCCGCGGGUGGGGGGCGCCGAUGUGCACAGCUCGGGGCGCCCAGCGGCAGGAGCGUCCUUGCUGUCCUGUGUCCUACCGGCUUUUGCCUGUCCUGGGGAAGUGCUGGAUCCUGGCCUUGUUCCUCGGCGCCCUGGGCUCUGGGGACUGCACCGCUGGAAUCGCGCUCCCAGGGCCACGGAGCACCCUCCACUCGGAGCCUCUGCCCGAGCCGCCUCCAAGCUGCUCCUGGGGCCGCUGUGCACGUGCUGCAGCCCUUUAGGGAGCUCGGCCGCGGUGUGUGGUGCUCUCUCCCCCGGGGUGCAGGCCCACUGUUAGUGUCCCAGGGAGCCCGAGGGCAUCCCCGCCCCUCCUGGGAUCCUGCUCCAACUCCCUGCGAGUGCCUUUCUGUCUGGGAAGAUUAGUGAAGCUCCUGCUUCUCCCGGUCGGUGCUUUCCUGUCCUGGGGGCACUUGCCCUGGCCUUAGCCCGGCUCCUCGUGGGGCCCCUCCUCCUUGACAGCUUAUUUAUUUAUUUAUUUUUCCCAUCUUCCUACCUUGAUAGAAGCGUGAACUCUUCUCACUAUAGCAUUCCAGCUGGUCUCUCUUUAAGUCUCAUACCGAAUUCGUAGGUUUUCAGGAUGACUUGAAAGUUAUCUAGGUAAUUUGGUGGGGUCAGGUGAUUUGGGGACCCUACUCUUCCACCAUCUUGCCCUCUCCCUUCUGUUUUGUUUUUGCUUUUCUCCUUCCCCUCCUCCUCCUUCUUUCUUUCUUUCUUUCUUUCUUUCUUUCUUUCUUUCUUUCUUUCUUUCUUUCUUUCUUUCUUUUCUUCUUCUUCUUCUUCUUCUUCUUCUUCUUCUUCUUCUUCUUCUUCUUCUUUUCUUCUUCUUUCUUUCUUUUCUUCUUCUUUUAGAGUAGUUUUAUAGUCACAGCAAAAUUGAUCAGAAAGUACAGAGAUUUAUCGGAUAAACUAACUUGAAAUAAAUGGCUAUAAAUUAUAAACUUUGUGUUUUCUCCAUUCACAAUAACAUACCAAACUAUUUCCCAAGAUAUCAUCCAGAUGACGGAUUCGUUGUAUGUGGGCUUUAAAUUACAAUCAUAAGAAUAUGCCGUUCUGGGGGCACCUGGUGGCUCAUUUGGUUGAGUGUCUGCCUUGAGCUCAGGUCAUGAUCCCAGGGUCCUGGGAUGGAGCCCCAAGUGGGACUUCCCUCUCAGUGAGGAGCCUGCGUCUCUCUCAACCUCUGC
This 3625-nucleotide long non-coding RNA is filed under the name Canis lupus familiaris (dog). RNAcentral describes it as "lncRNA (ENSCAFG00845004524.1)". The record is from RNAcentral. Lineage: Eukaryota; Metazoa; Chordata; Mammalia; Carnivora; Canidae.